This 505-nucleotide small RNA is filed under the name Malus domestica (apple). RNAcentral's name for it is "sRNA MD02G0078100". Lineage: Eukaryota; Viridiplantae; Streptophyta; Magnoliopsida; Rosales; Rosaceae. The record is from RNAcentral.
CUCUCGGCUCUCUCUCUUCCCCUGGACUCACUAGGACCGAGUCACCAUCGAAGAGAGGCUCGCAACGAACCCCGGACCCUGCCCUGCGAGUUCGACGACACGGAGUAAGCUCUGGCGAGCACCGCCCCUUUCGAGGCCAUUUCCGGCCAAACCACGACGAGUUGGCCGGCGUGCAAGUUUCCGGCGAGUCCGACGGCUUUCGAGGCGUUUUCCGGCCAAACCACGGCGAAUUAGACGUCGUGUGAGGGGCAAUAUUGGUGACGUUUUCUUGUUCGUUAGUUUGCAUGGCUCUUCGGCGGCUAAGUACUGAUUUAGGAUCGAGGCAUACAAUCCCGGCAUCCAGGCACUUCCGCAUCGGUAUCUUCGAGUCCUCUCGGUGUAGAACCCACUUCUGUGUUCAUUCAAUUUUUAUAUUAACUCUUUUAAUAUUCUAGAUUAGAUGUGUGCUCUGAACACGUUCCUUAAAUACAUAUUCUUUAUUCUCUUAUAUUUAUAAGUCUUAUCU